Molecule: ribosomal RNA, 1326 nt
Filed under: Chryseobacterium cucumeris
Lineage: Bacteria; Pseudomonadati; Bacteroidota; Flavobacteriia; Flavobacteriales; Weeksellaceae
Description: bacterial SSU rRNA
Rfam family: Bacterial small subunit ribosomal RNA
Source: RNAcentral
ACACGUGUGCAACCUGCCUUUAUCUGGGGGAUAGCCUUUCGAAAGGAAGAUUAAUACCCCAUAAUAUACUGGAUGGCAUCAUUCGGUAUUGAAAACUCCGGUGGAUAGAGAUGGGCACGCGCAAGAUUAGAUAGUUGGUGAGGUAACGGCUCACCAAGUCUGCGAUCUUUAGGGGGCCUGAGAGGGUGAUCCCCCACACUGGUACUGAGACACGGACCAGACUCCUACGGGAGGCAGCAGUGAGGAAUAUUGGACAAUGGGUGAGAGCCUGAUCCAGCCAUCCCGCGUGAAGGACGACGGCCCUAUGGGUUGUAAACUUCUUUUGUAUAGGGAUAAACCUACCCUCGUGAGGGUAGCUGAAGGUACUAUACGAAUAAGCACCGGCUAACUCCGUGCCAGCAGCCGCGGUAAUACGGAGGGUGCAAGCGUUAUCCGGAUUUAUUGGGUUUAAAGGGUCCGUAGGCGGAUCUGUAAGUCAGUGGUGAAAUCUCACAGCUUAACUGUGAAACUGCCAUUGAUACUGCAGGUCUUGAGUGUUGUUGAAGUAGCUGGAAUAAGUAGUGUAGCGGUGAAAUGCAUAGAUAUUACUUAGAACACCAAUUGCGAAGGCAGGUUACUAAGCAACAACUGACGCUGAUGGACGAAAGCGUGGGGAGCGAACAGGAUUAGAUACCCUGGUAGUCCACGCCGUAAACGAUGCUAACUCGUUUUUGGAAUGUAAGUUUCAGAGACUAAGCGAAAGUGAUAAGUUAGCCACCUGGGGAGUACGAACGCAAGUUUGAAACUCAAAGGAAUUGACGGGGGCCCGCACAAGCGGUGGAUUAUGUGGUUUAAUUCGAUGAUACGCGAGGAACCUUACCAAGGCUUAAAUGGGAAAUGACAGGUUUAGAAAUAGACUUUUCUUCGGACAUUUUUCAAGGUGCUGCAUGGUUGUCGUCAGCUCGUGCCGUGAGGUGUUAGGUUAAGUCCUGCAACGAGCGCAACCCCUGUCACUAGUUGCCAUCAUUAAGUUGGGGACUCUAGUGAGACUGCCUACGCAAGUAGAGAGGAAGGUGGGGAUGACGUCAAAUCAUCACGGCCCUUACGCCUUGGGCCACACACGUAAUACAAUGGCCGGUACAGAGGGCAGCUACACUGCGAAGUGAUGCAAAUCUCGAAAGCCGGUCUCAGUUCGGAUUGGAGUCUGCAACUCGACUCUAUGAAGCUGGAAUCGCUAGUAAUCGCGCAUCAGCCAUGGCGCGGUGAAUACGUUCCCGGGCCUUGUACACACCGCCCGUCAAGCCAUGGAAGUCUGGGGUACCUGAAGUCGGUGACCGUAACAGGAGC